UACGGGGGGGGCAAGCGUUGUUCGGAAUUACUGGGCGUAAAGGGCGCGUAGGCGGUUCGCUAAGUUGAAUGUGAAAACUCUGGGCUUAACCCAGAGCCUGCAUCCAAAACUGGCGAACUGGAGUACUGGAGGGGAAAGCGGAAUUCCUGGUGUAGCGGUGAAAUGCGUAGAUAUCUGGAGGAACACCGGUGGCGAAGGCGGCAUCCUGGACCAACACUGACGCUGAGGAGCGAAAGCCAGGGGAGCAAACGGG
RNAcentral lists this ribosomal RNA (253 nucleotides) under uncultured bacterium. RNAcentral describes it as "partial 16S ribosomal RNA". It matches the Rfam family "Bacterial small subunit ribosomal RNA", at positions 524 to 776 of the family's 1533-position model. The record is from RNAcentral.